This 317-nucleotide long non-coding RNA is filed under the name Lathyrus oleraceus (garden pea). RNAcentral's name for it is "Pisum sativum (pea) long non-coding RNA (PSAT_LNC029304)". The record is from RNAcentral. Lineage: Eukaryota; Viridiplantae; Streptophyta; Magnoliopsida; Fabales; Fabaceae.
AGGAAACACGCUCAUGUAUCAAGACAAAAGCGCUCAAACAAAAAAUCUCCAAGCAUCAAUCACCAUGGUAUCGCGUUUGGAAACACUAGCAUCAUCACGUUGGCAUCGGAGGAACGCCGUGUACAUCGCCAAUUGACUUUCAACCUUUAUCGUCCCCGCGUUCGAUACAGGUCAAAGCGAUAAAAAAUAGAGAAAUUGAAAAGCAAAAGCGCUUAUCAAUACAUACCAGAGAGCAAUCGAGAUCCUUGAUUUCACGUUUGCCAAUCGAUGCAGAUGGUAAUCACUUCUUUAAUCGAUCCGCGUCGGGAACGCCGUAA